RNAcentral lists this ribosomal RNA (252 nucleotides) under uncultured bacterium. Its description in RNAcentral is "partial 16S ribosomal RNA". It matches the Rfam family "Bacterial small subunit ribosomal RNA", at positions 524 to 776 of the family's 1533-position model. The record is from RNAcentral.
UACGUAGGGGGCAAGCGUCGUCCGGAAUUAUUGGGCGUAAAGCGCGCGCAGGCGGUCGCUUAAGUCUCAUGUUUAAACCCGGGGCUCAACCCCGGGUCGCAUGGGAAACUGGGUGACUUGAGUGCAGGAGAGGAAAGCGGAAUUCCACGUGUAGCGGUGAAAUGCGUAGAGAUGUGGAGGAACACCAGUGGCGAAGGCGGCUUUCUGGCCUGUAACUGACGCUGAGGCGCGAAAGCGUGGGGAGCAAACAGG